Molecule: ribosomal RNA, 254 nt
Filed under: uncultured bacterium
Lineage: Bacteria
Description: partial 16S ribosomal RNA
Rfam family: Bacterial small subunit ribosomal RNA
Source: RNAcentral
UACGUAGGUGACAAGCGUUGUCCGGAUUUAUUGGGCGUAAAGAGCUCGUAGGCGGUUCGAUAAGUCGGGUGUGAAACCUCCAGGCUCAACCUGGAGACGCCACCCGAUACUGUCGUGACUAGAGUCCAGUAGGGGAGCGUGGAAUUCCUGGUGUAGCGGUGAAAUGCGCAGAUAUCAGGAGGAACACCAGCGGCGAAGGCGGCGCUCUGGGCUGGCACUGACGCUGAGGAGCGAAAGCGUGGGUAGCGAACAGG